Molecule: ribosomal RNA, 441 nt
Filed under: uncultured bacterium
Lineage: Bacteria
Description: partial 16S ribosomal RNA
Rfam family: Bacterial small subunit ribosomal RNA
Source: RNAcentral
CCUACGGGCGGCAGCAGUGGGGAAUAUUGCACAAUGGGGGAAACCCUGAUGCAGCGACGCCGCGUGAGUGAAGACGUAUUUCGGUAUGUAAAGCUCUAUCAGCAGGGAAGAAGGAAGACGGUACCUGACUAAGAAGCCCCGGCUAACUACGUGCCAGCAGCCGCGGUAAUACGUAGGGGGCAAGCGUUAUCCGGAUUUACUGGGUGUAAAGGGAGCGUAGACGGCGGUGCAAGUCUGAAGUGAAAGCCCAGGGCUCAACCCUGGGACUGCUUUGGAAACUGUGGAGCUGGAGUGCUGGAGAGGUAAGCGGAAUUCCUAGUGUAGCGGUGAAAUGCGUAGAUAUUAGGAGGAACACCGGUGGCGAAGGCGGCUUACUGGACAGUGACUGACGUUGAGGCUCGAAAGCGUGGGGAGCGAACAGGAUUAGAUACCCGAGUAGUC